Molecule: ribosomal RNA, 362 nt
Filed under: uncultured bacterium
Lineage: Bacteria
Description: bacterial SSU rRNA
Rfam family: Bacterial small subunit ribosomal RNA
Source: RNAcentral
GGACCCGCACAAGUAGUGGAGCAUGUGGUUUAAUUCGAAGAUACGCGCAGAACCUUACCAACACUUGACAUGUUCGUCGCGACUUUAAGAGAUUAAAGUUUUCGGUUCGGCCGGACGAAACACAGGUGCUGCAUGGCUGUCGUCAGCUCGUGUCGUGAGAUGUUGGUUAAGUCCCGCAACGAUGCGCAACCCUCACUUUUUAGUUGCCAUCAUUAAGUUGGGCACUCUGAAAGAACUGCCAGUGAUAAGCUGGAGGAAGGUGGGGACGACGUCAAAUCAUCACGGCCCCUUACGUCCUGGGCCACACACGUGCUACAAUGGUAGGUACAGAGGGAAGCCACCCCCAGCGAGGGGGGAGCGGA